RNAcentral lists this small RNA (72 nucleotides) under Tenacibaculum todarodis. RNAcentral's name for it is "Tenacibaculum sp. LPB0136 Flavo-1 RNA". It matches the Rfam family "Flavo-1 RNA". Lineage: Bacteria; Pseudomonadati; Bacteroidota; Flavobacteriia; Flavobacteriales; Flavobacteriaceae. The record is from Rfam by way of RNAcentral.
GCUUAGCCCUGAUUGAAGUGGCAUCCUUUUUUCUUUUUCAGAAAAAAGAUAUAACGGAAAGCAGGAAAUAGC